UGUUAAAAAAAUUAUCCAUCUAUACUGUUAAAAGCUAACGUGACUGAUAGAAUAACUAGACAGGGAUACGUGACAUGCCACGUGUACAUCAUAUUUACAUACAAGAUCAGUUUUUAACGGGAAAAAUGAAUGAGAUUUUUAAUA
Non-coding RNA from Gossypium hirsutum (cotton), 144 nucleotides. NCBI's taxonomy places the organism in Eukaryota, Viridiplantae, Streptophyta, Magnoliopsida, Malvales, Malvaceae. The record is from Rfam.